AGAGAACACCAGUCUCUAGUGAAUCGCAACAUCCGAGCACCACAGCCCUCACACUCCUCAGUAGACGUCGUAGUAGUUAUCUCCAAUUGUAAUAAAGCCUUUGAGGCAUUGUAUCUCCCCGUGGUGGAGGUAGGCAUAAGGUAGUCUUUUUACCUCUUUGUAAUCCCUUCGAGGUCUCCCGAAAGGGAAACUCGUAUGUAAAUUAUGUUGUUGAAAUGAAGUAGUUUCGUGUUUCAUUUGGUCUAUCUGUUAUGAAUUUAUGAGAUGAGUCUUACGCUAGGGAUCCUAUAGGAGAAACCUGAUACGUCUCCAACGUCUUUAUAAUUUUUGAUUGUUCCAUGCAAUUAUAUUAUCUGUUUUGGAUGUUUCAUAUGCAUCAAUAUGAUAUUUUAUAUUAUUUUUGGGACUAACUUAUUAACCUAGAGCUCAGUGCCAGUUUCUUUUUUUCUUCUUGUUUUUCAGUUUCGCAGAAAAAGAAUAUCAAACGGAUUCCAAACGGAAUGAAACUUCACGAUGAUUUUUCUUGGACCAGAAGACACCCAGGGGACAUGGAGUCCAAGCCAGAAGAGCCACGAGGCGGCCGCAAGGGUGAAGGUGAUACGUCUCCAACGUAUCUAUAAUUUUUGAUUGUUCCAUGCUAUUAUAUUAUCUGUUUUGGAUGUUUUAUAUGCACUAAUAUGCUAUUUUAUAUGAUUUUUGGGACUAACCUAUUAACCUAGAGCCCAGUGCUAGUUUCUGUUUUUUUCCUUGUUUUAGAGUUUCGCAGAAAAGGAAUACCAAACGGAGUCCAAACGGAAUAAAACUUUCGCGAUGAUUUUUCUUGGACCAGAAGACACCCAUGAGACUUGGAGUGCAAGUCAGAGGAGCCUCGAGGCGGCCACAAGGGUGGAGGGCGCGCCCAGGGGGUGGGAGGCGCCCCCAACCUUGUGGGCCCCUCGUAGCUCCUCUGACAUAAUUCUUCCUCCUAUAUAUACUCUUAUACCCCAAAAACAUCCAGGGGAGCCACGAAACCACUUUUCCACCAUCGCAAUCUUCUAUACCCGUGAGAUCCCAUCUUGGGGCCUUUUCCGGCAUCCUACCAGAGGGGGAAUCAAUCACGGAGGGCUUCUACAUUAGCACAUUGCCUCUCCUAUGAAGCGUGAGUAGUUUACUUCAGACCUACGGGUCCAUAGCUAGUAGCUAGAUGGCUUCUUCUCUCUCUUUGAUUCUCAAUAAAAAAGUUCUCCUCGAUGUUCUUGGAGAUCUAUUCGAUGUAAUACUCUUUUGCGGUGUGUUUGCCGAGAUCCGAUGAAUUGUGGAUUUAUGAUCAGCUUAUAUAUGAAUAUUAUUUGAAUCUCCUCUGAAUUCUUAUAUGCAUGAUUUGAUAUCUUUGCAAGUCUCUUCGGACGAUCGAUUUGGUUUGGCCAACUAGAUUGGUUUUUCUUGCAAUGGGAGAAGUGCUUAGCUUUGGGUUCAAUCUUGCGGUGCUCGAUCUUAGUGACAGAAGGGGAACCGACACGUAUUGUAUUGAUCAUGGAUAACAAGAUGGGGUUUUCAUCAUAUUGCUUGAGUUAAUCCCGCUACAUCAUGUCAUCUUGCUUAAUGCGUUACUCUGUUCUUAUGAACUUAAUACUGUAGAUGCAGGCAGGAGUCGGUCGAUGUGUGGAGUAAUAGUAGUAGAUGUAGGCAGGAGUCGAUCUACCUGAUACGAACGUGAUGCCUAUAUUCAUGAUCAUUGCCUUAGAUAUCGUCAUAACUUUGCGUUUUUCUAUCAAUUGCUCGGCAGUAAUUUGUUCACCCACCAUAAUAAUUUCUAUCUUGAGAGAAGCCUCGAAUGAAACCUAUGGCCCCGAGUCUAUUUUACAUCAUAUAAGUUUCCGAUCUACAAUUCUAGUUUCCUAUUUACUUUCUUUUGCAAUUUUACUUUCUGUUCCAUAAACCAAAAAUACCAAAAAUACUACUUUACCGUUUAUCCAUCUCUAUCAGAUCUCACUUUGCGAAUAACCAUGAAGGGAUUGACAACCCCUUUUUCGUGUCGGUUGCAAGUUGGUGUUUGUUUGUGCAGGUAUUCGGUGGCUUGUUGCGUAGUCUCCCACUAGUGCAGAACCGGGCUACAGCACCGGUUUGUAAGGGCCUUUAGUGCCGGUUCUGCAACCAGCACUAAAGGGUGGGGACUAAAGGUCCCCCCCUUAGUACCGGUUAUGCACGAACGGCCGCUAAAGUGCCACCACGUGGCACGAGCCGGCGCCGGGGACGGGGAGACCUUUAGUAGCGGUUGGCAACAUCAACCGGUACUAAAAGGUUAGGGGGGUUUUGGGUUCAGGGUUUCUUUUUCCUUUAAUUUUGUGUUUUCCAUUUAAUUCUUUUUCGUUUGCUGGUAUACGAUACUACAUAUUGUACACAUUAUGCAUAUAUAUAUAAAAAUAGAAUUUCUUGUAGAACCGAUUAUAUAUAUAUAUAUACAUACACACAUAUUCACACACACACACACACACACACACACACAUAUAUAUAUAUAUAUAUCAUUGAAUGUCUCGCACCACCAUAUUCACACAUACACAUGUAUGUAUAUAUAUACAAUUUGAUAUAUACAAUUUCUCCUACAUGGAGGCAUUACUGCGGUAGCGGGUAAUGGAAUUCUCCUCUAGGAUCUAUGACCUGGUCGAGCAAAAAUCCCGCUAUUUCCUCUGCAAUUGCUCGUACGCGAUCCAUUGGUAGGAGCUUCUGCCGCACCUCAUUGAACUAUUAAUUAAGAAGGAGAUCAAUAUGCAUGUAUUAGUUGUGUGACUAGAUAUCGAUAAUGAUGUAAAAAUUGUGUAUAGUGUUCUGGCAAACGUACCCAUGGCUGUCUAUCAGAUGUGCUCCUUUCGGACGUCAUCAUGCGAAUGUUCUCGCAAUCGUAGUAUGCACAUAAAUCAUUCCCCGGCUCCUGCUUCAUGGCCUGUACGAGAAUAGAGUUCAAUCAGAUAAUAAUUAAUCAAGCAUGAUAAUUAAUGGUAUUGAAACUAGAAUUAAAGAGAUUGCAUGGUAGCUAGCUACUACUACUUAAUUAAUUACCGUGGGUCGAUACCAAUACAGAUUUUCUCUGAACGGGCCUGGAACGUCUUUGAUGAACUUUUGCCAAGCCCUGCCGGCCCGCUGGCAAAGAAAAUGAAUAAAGGAGUUAUUCAUUAGUUGAUAUCAGGACAUAUAUAUAAUGAUUGAAAUUACCUGUUGACUAUCCCCUUCACGAUUGAGUACUCUUUAGGUUUUUUAAGCAGUGAUUCCAGUACUUCAACUUUUCCUUCUUUAACUUUAAUGUCUACCAAGAUCCAGUGGUACCUGCAUGCGCACGUUUGCAUGUAUAAAUUAAGCGGGCAUGUGCAUAACACUCAUCAACUAACCCUAAACCCUAUACACUUAUUAACAUCUAGCUAGUAACAAAAACAGAAUUUGUAGUACAAGACAGUGUGACUCACUGGAAGUUGUAAGGAAGUAGUAUAUCUGCAUUGGUAUUGAGGCGCUUCAAGAACUCUAGCAUGUUAUUCUCUACUUCUUGUUUAUAAUAUUCAUAUGAUCAUGUCUCUUCAUUAAUUGUAUUUGGGUCAAUGAACCCAAUGCCAUAGCGUUCAGAUUUUCUCAUUUCGGACAUGUUCAUCCUGCAUAAUACCACAGAAAAGAAUAUAGUGAGGAUAAUUACAGGUAAUGAUCAACGAGAGCACUACAGCUAGCUUGAGACUUAAAUUACAGAAAGAAAUCACUUACAGACAAUAGCAACUGACGAUAGAUUUGUCGAGUGCGUCAUAAUUGGAUAACUGAAACAGUUCUAUAUACUCAAUAGAUAGAGCUAGCUUAUGGAAGUAAUCCUCUUCCUUGACUUUCACCAUGAGGGACUCUAGAUUGUGGGUAUUGCAAAUUUCCAUGUACCAUUGAUGCAAUUCAUACAUUCUCGUUGGGAGGUUCUUGACCUCCUCGGGCUCGACCAAAGGUUCGCCGCGGACAUAUUUCCGUUUUAUUUCCUCCUCUCUAAGCGGAGACAUGGGCUCGAUCUCAAGGAGUUGUCCAACAGUCAUACCGAGCAUUUCAGCCUGCAUUAUAUGCUCCUCGGUUAUUACCAGAUUGCCCAGCUGGGGAACGGUUUGCCCACAUACAUAUAUGGCACCGGUACUCUUAUGUGUUGUUGGGACAACAAGCGGGGGGAUCGAUUGCGCCGCCUGUUCUCCCAGCUGGGGAACGGUUUUCCUGCAUUUUUUGCCAGCUGCUUGGCUCGAGCUCGAGCUCGACUCCUUCUGUACUCGUGCUCGAUGUGCCUUCCUGAUUUGGUGCUCAUAGUCUGAGUCAAUAGGCUUGGGAGCUGGUGGUCUAGCCAUACGAAUAAAGUGGUCAAUCUUUUCCUCAGGCACUUUCUCCCUUGGCGGCGGUGCCGGUUUCGGUCCAAAAUGGGCGUCC
Molecule: long non-coding RNA, 4407 nt
Filed under: Triticum aestivum (bread wheat)
Lineage: Eukaryota; Viridiplantae; Streptophyta; Magnoliopsida; Poales; Poaceae
Description: long non-coding RNA (TAES_LNC013587)
Source: RNAcentral